UACGAAGGUGGCUAGCGUUGCUCGGAAUCACUGGGCGUAAAGCGCACGUAGGCGGCUUUUUAAGUCAGAGGUGAAAUCCUGGAGCUCAACUCCAGAACUGCCUUUGAUACUGGAGAGCUUGAGUCCGGGAGAGGUGAGUGGAACUGCGAGUGUAGAGGUGAAAUUCGUAGAUAUUCGCAAGAACACCAGUGGCGAAGGCGGCUCACUGGCCCGGUACUGACGCUGAGGUGCGAAAGCGUGGGGAGCAAACAGG
This 253-nucleotide ribosomal RNA is filed under the name uncultured bacterium. Its description in RNAcentral is "partial 16S ribosomal RNA". It matches the Rfam family "Bacterial small subunit ribosomal RNA", at positions 524 to 776 of the family's 1533-position model. The record is from RNAcentral.